This 753-nucleotide ribosomal RNA is filed under the name Lodderomyces orthopsilosis. RNAcentral's name for it is "Candida orthopsilosis partial large subunit ribosomal RNA". It matches the Rfam family "Eukaryotic large subunit ribosomal RNA", at positions 99 to 865 of the family's 3401-position model. The record is from RNAcentral. Lineage: Eukaryota; Fungi; Ascomycota; Pichiomycetes; Serinales; Debaryomycetaceae.
CGGCAAAAGCUCAAAUUUGAAAUUCUGGCACUCUUCAGUUGCUCCGUGUUGUAAUUUGAAGAAGGUAUCUUUGGGUCUGGCUCUUGUCUAUGUUUCUUGGAACAGAACGUCACAGAGGGUGAGAAUCCCGUGCGAUGAGAUGUCCCAGACCUAUGUAAAGUUCCUUCGAAGAGUCGAGUUGUUUGGGAAUGCAGCUCUAAGUGGGUGGUAAAUUCCAUCUAAAGCUAAAUAUUGGCGAGAGACCGAUAGCGAACAAGUACAGUGAUGGAAAGAUGAAAAGAACUUUGAAAAGAGAGUGAAAAAGUACGUGAAAUUGUUGAAAGGGAAGGGCUUGAGAUCAGACUUGGUAUUUUGUAUGUUACUCUCUCGGGGGUGGCCUCUACAGUUUACCGGGCCAGCAUCAGUUUGGGCGGUAGGACAAUUGCAAAGAAAUGUGGCACUGCCUCGGUAGUGUGUUAUAGUCUUUGUCGAUACUGCCAGCCUAGACUGAGGACUGCGGCUUCGGCCUAGGAUGUUGGCAUAAUGAUCUUAAGUCGCCCGUCUUGAAACACGGACCAAGGAGUCUAACGUCUAUGCGAGUGUUUGGGUGUAAAACCCGUACGCGUAAUGAAAGUGAACGUAGGUAGGACCUCCUUUAGGAGUGCACUAUCGACCGAUCCUGAUGUCUUCGGAUGGAUUUGAGUAAGAGCAUAGCUGUUGGGACCCGAAAGAUGGUGAACUAUGCCUGAAUAGGGUGAAGCCAGAGGAAACUCU